CAUUAUCACGCGUUACUCACCCGUCCGCGCGGACUACUGGGGUAUCUAAUCCCAUUCACGCGUUACUCACCCGUCCGACCUGACUACUGGGGUAUCUAAUCCCAUUAUCACGCGUUACUCAGCCGUCCGCCCCGACUACUGGGGUAUCUAAUCCCAUUCACGCGUUACUCACCCGUCCGAAGGGCGAAUUCGCGUGCCGCUAAAUUCAAUUCGCCCUAUAGUGAGUCGUAUUAAAAGGCAGCAGUGGGGAAUCUUGCGCAAUGGGAGCAAUCCUGACGCAGCGACGCCGCGUGCGGGAGGACGCCUUUCUGGGUGUAAACCGCUGUCACCGGGGACGAACUAGGCUGGGAGGCAAUGCCCAGUCUUUGACGGUACCCGGAGAGGAAGCACCGGCUAACUCCGUGCCAGCAGCCGCGGUAAUACGGAGGGUGCAAGCGUUGUUCGGAAUUACUGGGCGUAAAGCGCGCGUAGGCUGUCCUUUAAGUCUGUCUGUGAAAGGCCGGGGCUCAACCCCGUGCAGGGCAGGGGAUACUGGAGGACUUGAGAGAUGCAGAGGCCAGCGGAAUUCCGGGUGUAGCGGUGGAAUGCGUAGAGAUCCGGAAGAACACCGGCGGCGAAGGCGGCUGGCUGGGCAUCAUCUGACGCUGAGGUGCGAAAGCGUGGGGAGCAAUGGGAUUAGAUACC
This 684-nucleotide ribosomal RNA is filed under the name uncultured bacterium. RNAcentral's name for it is "bacterial SSU rRNA". It matches the Rfam family "Bacterial small subunit ribosomal RNA", at positions 61 to 786 of the family's 1533-position model. The record is from RNAcentral.